CCCUUAGAUGUUCUGGGCCGCACGCGCGCUACACUGAUGCAUUCAACGAGUUUCUUCCUGGUCCGAGAGGAAUGGGUAACCUUUUGAAAGUGCAUCGUGAUAGGGAUACACUAUUGCAAUUAUUGGUCUUCAACGAGGAAUUCCUAGUAGACGUAGUUCAUCAGACUGCAUCGAUUACGUCCCUGCCCUUUGUACACACCGCCCGUCGCUCCUACCGAUUGAAUGCUCAGGUGAGCCAUUCGGACUUUCAUCAUGCUGGUUUCCAGUUUUGAUGAAGGAAAGUCUUGCGAACCUUAUCAUUUAGAGGAAGGAGAAGUCGUAACA
Molecule: ribosomal RNA, 324 nt
Filed under: uncultured eukaryote
Lineage: Eukaryota
Description: partial 18S ribosomal RNA
Rfam family: Eukaryotic small subunit ribosomal RNA
Source: RNAcentral